GAUGAACGCUAGCUACAGGCUUAACACAUGCAAGUCGAGGGGAAACGAUAUUGGAAGCUUGCUUCCGAUAGGCGUCGACCGGCGCACGGGUGAGUAACGCGUCUCCAACCUGCCCAUCACUUGGGGAUAACCUUGCGAAAGUAAGACUAAUACCCAAUGAUAUCACUAGAAGACCCCUGAAAGGGAUUAAAGAUUUAUCGGUGAAGGACGGGAAUGCGUCUGAUUAGCUUGUUGGCGGGGUAACGGCCCACCAAGGCGACGCUCAGUAGGGGUUCUGAGAGGAAGGUCCCCCACAUUGGAACUGAGACACGGUCCAAACUCCUACGGGAGGCAGCAGUGAGGAAUAUUGGUCAAUGGGCGAGAGCCUGAACCAGCCAAGUAGCGUGCAGGAUGACGGCCCUAUGGGUUGUAAACUGCUUUUAUAAGGGAAUAAAGUGGGAGUCGUGACUCCUUUUGCAUGUACCUUAUGAAUAAGGACCGGCUAAUUCCGUGCCAGCCGCCGCGGUAA
RNAcentral lists this ribosomal RNA (508 nucleotides) under uncultured bacterium. RNAcentral's name for it is "partial 16S ribosomal RNA". It matches the Rfam family "Bacterial small subunit ribosomal RNA", at positions 28 to 523 of the family's 1533-position model. The record is from RNAcentral.